CCUACGGGUGGCAGCAGUGAGGAAUUUUGCGCAAUGGGCGAAAGCCUGACGCAGCGACGCCGCGUGGGCGAUGAAGCUCUUUGGAGUGUAAAGCCCUGUCAGGUGGGACGAACGCUCGGGAGGCUGAAUAAGCCUUCUGGUUGACGGUACCACCAGAGGAAGCCCCGGCUAACUCCGUGCCAGCAGCCGCGGUAAUACGGAGGGGGCGAGCGUUGUUCGGAAUCACUGGGUGUAAAGGGUGCGUAGGCGGUCCGUUAAGUCUGAUGUGAAAGCCCUGGGCUCAACUCAGGAACGGCAUUGGAGACUGGCGGGCUAGAGUACCGGAGAGGGAAGCGGAAUUCCUAAUGUAGCGGUGAAAUGCGUAGAUAUUAGGAGGAACACCGGUGGCGAAGGCGGCUUCCUGGCCGAGUACUGACGCUGAGGCACGAAAGCGUGGGGAG
RNAcentral lists this ribosomal RNA (440 nucleotides) under uncultured bacterium. RNAcentral's name for it is "bacterial SSU rRNA". It matches the Rfam family "Bacterial small subunit ribosomal RNA", at positions 338 to 768 of the family's 1533-position model. The record is from RNAcentral.